AGAACUUAGCAGAGAUGCUUUGGUGCCUUCGGGAACUCUGAGACAGGUGCUGCAUGGCUGUCGUCAGCUCGUGUUGUGAAAUGUUGGGUUAAGUCCCGCAACGAGCGCAACCCUUUAUCCUUUGUUGCCAGCGGUCCGGCCGGGAACUCAAAGGAGACUGCCAGUGAUAAACUGGAGGAAGGUGGGAUGACGUCAAGUCAUCAUGGCCCUUACGAGUAGGGCUACACACGUGCUACAAUGGCGCAUACAAAGAGAAGCGACCUCGCGAGAGCAAGCGGACCUCAUAAAGUGCGUCGUAGUCCGGAUUGGAGUCUGCAACUCGACUCCAUGAAGUCGGAAUCGCUAGUAAUCGUAGAUCAGAAUGCUACGGUGAAUACGUUCCCGGGCCUUGUACACACCGCCCGUCACACCAUGGGAGUGGGUUGCAAAAGAAGUAGGUAGCUUAACCUUCGGGAGGGCGCUUACCACUUUGUGAUUCAUGACUGGGGUGAAGUCGUAACAAGGUAAGCGUAGCGAG
Molecule: ribosomal RNA, 517 nt
Filed under: uncultured bacterium
Lineage: Bacteria
Description: bacterial SSU rRNA
Rfam family: Bacterial small subunit ribosomal RNA
Source: RNAcentral